UUGCUCUUAGGCAAAUCACAUUGUAGGAUUACAAUGAACUACCCAACAAAACAACAUUUGUUAGUUGGUAUAUAGAAGCGAUAUCCAAAAGUUCAUUUAAGGAUAUCCCACAAGAUUGUUAUCAAACAAAUAUUGCUUAUUAGCACAGAACCCCAAAUCUUAACAUGUUUUAAGAUUUUGUCUUUCUUUCCAACUACAUCUUAUGGAGUCAUGAAAAUAUUGGAAGAUCUUCUAAUUGACAAUCAUAUUGUCUUAGAAGUAUAUAUCCUAUAUAUGGGUAAUAGAUAACAACUAACGAACUAAAUCUUAUUCGAGUUCGUUCUUCUCCUAAUGGAGAAAUACAUUAUCUUAUGAUGCUAUUUUCCUUGAUAUUUUUCAAGGAAACUCAUCUAAAGUGUUACCUUUCCUUGGAUCAAAUCUAAGGAGGUAAAUACUUUAGAUGUCUUACUCAUCAACUUACAUUUCUUGAAUUCUUUGAAACAUUUUGCAAAGUAUUCGGGCUUGUGUUUAUUCAAAAUAAACUAUAGUCCAACCGAGAGUGAUCUUCGGUGAAUGUUAUCCAACAUGAGUAGUAUUAUGUUUGUGGACAAGUGCCACUAACAUCUAAGUGAAUUAACCUCAACAACUUUGUGAUUCUUUCUUCUUUCCAAAAGAAUAAAGAUUCGAACAUUUCGCCUCUAUAUAAUUUUAAGAAGAAGGUAUUGGAUCCGGAUCUAACGAUCCAAAGCGUCCAUCUAUGACCAACUC
RNAcentral lists this long non-coding RNA (747 nucleotides) under Malus domestica (apple). Its description in RNAcentral is "long non-coding RNA (MDOM_LNC019572)". Lineage: Eukaryota; Viridiplantae; Streptophyta; Magnoliopsida; Rosales; Rosaceae. The record is from RNAcentral.